CCACACGUGUCAGGGGCCCUGUAGUGACCGCAUGCCAGCCUCCCGGGCACCCCGAUGAUGCCAGCACUGGGCGCUGACUCCCCGUGAAGGACAGACCAAGUGCCCCCUGGACUCCCAGGGGUCUGAGGGGCUCGGGCAGGGCAGGACCUGUGGCUGAUUGCAAUCUAGGGUUUGGGAGGGGCACCCCCAGUCCUGAGUCUGGAAGUCUGCUCCCUGCCGGUCACUUUCCUUGAGAGAUGCCUGUACCCAUCGUCCUCUCCCUUGGGCUCAGGGUGCCAGGGCCUGUGGAGGGGACGUGAGCCCAGAGUGGGGAUAUGUAGGGUGCGGGUCCCUCCUGCCCCGUUGCACGGUGUGUAAGGGGGAGCUGAGCUCACCCGGGGGAGCCGAAGUGGCCCGUCUGCAGCCCUGAGUCUGCCCUUCCGGGCCUCGGUCAUCACGUAUCAUGGUCUGGGCCUGCUCUCGCCCUUUCUGCAUUUGCCUGUUUCUGGUCUUUGUGGGGGAGCCCGUCUGCAGCUGUGUGUGUGUGGGCGCGCGCGCGCUUGUGUGUGUACUUGUGCGCGGGCACUGUUUGUGUUGGGGGGUUGUAUGCGCUGGGGCAUGUGGGGGGGUGUCUGUCCCUGUCGCUGACCACCCUGCUCUGCCCAGACCUGCCUCCCUUCCUCUCUGGUCACAGCUGUGCACAUCUCCCCCCCCCACACACACACACAGAAAUCGCCUCCAUCACCUCGCACACAUGGUCGGUCCGUCCCUCGCAUUGUAGGUGGCUGCCCUGCUUCAGGUAACAAACGUUUGUGGAGCACCUACUGUGUGCCAGGCACUACGCUAAGUGGUCCACCAAUAUUGUGAUCCUCAGAACAGCCUUGGGAGGUGGGUGCUAUUAUCAUCUCCAUUUUACAGAUGAGGAGACUGAGGCAGAGAAGAAGCACUUGUCUCAAGUCAUGAAGCUAGGGGAUGUCUGAGGCUGGAUUAGAGUUCGGGUCUUCCAGACUCCAGGCCUGGCGCUCUGUGCCCCAUGGCACCUCCAGCAGCUUUCUCCCAUCUUUGCCCAGGUGAUGGUGGAUGGCGCUAACCCUCACCCCCUGCCCCAGAGGUUCCAGCGAGCCCUCUGAGCCGCUCCCACACCCCCUCUGAUGAAGCCUUAACGAUGACUGAGAAACCUCUGAAUGAACUCUGGAGGAGAGAACCCUUGGAGAAGGGGUGUUGAGGAAUGUCCAUCGUGGGACCUUUGAAAACCAGGCCGUCCAGAGGCGGGGAGCCGGGACUGUCGCCGAGCAAGCUUGCUAGUGGGCCCGGUGCUGUAGCGAGGUCCAAAGGGGUGGGCGCUGCUGCUGUUACAGAAAAUAAAUUACUUUGCAAACAA
Molecule: long non-coding RNA, 1360 nt
Organism: Vombatus ursinus (common wombat)
Lineage: Eukaryota; Metazoa; Chordata; Mammalia; Diprotodontia; Vombatidae
Exons: 3
Source: RefSeq, a predicted model, not a curated record